This 2864-nucleotide long non-coding RNA is filed under the name Helianthus annuus (common sunflower). The record is from RNAcentral. Lineage: Eukaryota; Viridiplantae; Streptophyta; Magnoliopsida; Asterales; Asteraceae.
AAACCUUAACCGCCUUCUCUCUUCAAUUCUCUAGAUUACCACCGCCUUCUCCAUCUGCAUCCUUUUCUUCAUCUUCUUCAAUCGAUUUAUAAAAUUGUUCUUUGAUCCAAUCGAUUUAUAAAAUUGUUAAUUUCUUAGUUUAAUCAUUCUCUUACUAUCGAUUUGUUCUUGAAGCAGGUAUUUUUUUUCUGAAACCAUCAUUUAAUCUCGUAUUUGUAGAUGUUUUACUUUGAUUUCAUCCUCACCUUAUACACAAACCCUAAAACUCUUCAUGUUCCAUCGAAGGCUUGAAACGCUUCUCAUUCCUCUCUCAACUUUCUAUGAGAUUGGAGUUUCCAUGGUCUGAUUAGAAAUUGAAGGAUCGAGACUUGCUUCUUGCUUCAUCGCAACAAAUCAAAUUAAUCCUAAAUCUACUUCAUUAACGAAUUCCCAGUCUCUUUAAUCCUUGGUGUUUUGGUUGCUGAUUAUUAAUCCGUUUUGAGGCAGAAAUCAGGCGACCUAUCUCUAAGUUAUUAUUAGUCCGUCGUAGAUAGGCUUGACAUGCUUGAAUCAGGACUAUUUUCUUUACCUUUCAUGGUUAAGAGAGGACUUGGAUAUGUUUGGCAUCUUGGAGCUUUGAGCUGUAGGUUUCAUGAUAAAGUGUUCGGUAAAUUUCAUAGUUGUUACUGGAAAAGCAUAAAAUUACACAAAAGGAUGCCUAAGUACUUUUUAGGCGUUUGAAGGUACCUUAACAUGACAAAAGAUAUGUUUGUUGAACGUUAUCCUUUUCACCACGGUAAUUGCAACUGUGAACCAUGCAUACCUAAUGUACAUCCUUGGAUCAACAAGAAAAAUGAUUUGGGACCAAAUGUUGAUGAGAGGGUUCAAGGCUCCAAGAUUAUUCUAAUAUGUAAGGGAGAUGAAGAUCGAUGUUGAAAUUAAAGGGAUCCGCAACCGAUUGGUAGAAACAUGGGGCUGGCUUUAUGAGCGGUGAGUAUGAAAUUGACUCAAGUUGGAGCGAUUUAUUUGGCUGAUGUUGAUGCUGAUGAAGAUGGAUGUUGAAAUUAAAGCUGCUGCAAUGGAGUUUAGCAAACCGAGCAAGCCCAGGGUUUCGUACACAAGACCGUUUAGCCUAUCCGUAGCUAACCUUUCUAAUCUUUGUUUUAUACAAGAAAGUAUACUUUAGCUUAGUAACAUAUUUGCACAAUGUGAUUGUACUUUAUGCAUAAAUAAUAGUACCUUGAAAGAUGUAGUUGUUGCUGGAGUCCAACAAAAGAACCCAAACGAUGAAUGGUUGGUAAUCGAUUUACAAUCCAACUACAAACGGUACAUGCGGUGAGGUAAGUUGUUUUUGCCUUCGAAUGGAUAUGAUGAAGCGCCAUAUGCUCAUGUGAGUGAUCGAUUUAAAGCUUGAGAUGAAGCCCAGAAAAAGUAUUUUAAAGAGCAGCAGUUGAAAAGGCUUGAAGAAAAGAACAAUACUGAAACUGUUGAAGAAGGCAGUGACAAUGAAGCCAAAGUUGAUGAAAGCAAGCAAAUGGAUUUUGCUAAAGCCGAGAAACAUGUGCGUACUAUUAGUGGUGGGUCCACAAGAACUAUGAGGAACCUCUGUAUUCGAGAAGAUACAACAAAAUAUCUUCCUAAUCUUGAUGUUAAUUCAGCUCAGUAUGACCCAAAAACUCGAUUUAGCAUGAGGAUCCUCUUCUAGAUAUGGAUCCGAAUGAGAAGUUAUACGCUGGGGCUAAUCAACAUAGAGUAAGUGAUCAAGCUUGGAGUUUAAGCAGCUUGGGAAGCAUAAUGAUGUGUACAUGCAAGCUGCUCCUUCACAGGCUGAAUUAUUUUUCAAAAAUUACAAGAUAACAAAGAAAAUUGAAAUCUAAAGUUAAGGAGACGGUUUUGGAGGAAUAUGGGAAUGCAGCCGUGAAGACCCACUUCCAAGAGAGCUAUUAUCGGGUCAAAGUGAGAGAGAAGUUGAGCAUGAUCGUGCUGGUAGAUUUAUUAAGAGACAAGAAAUGGCCCUUCGCAAGAGCAAAUAUGAAGAGGAUGUUCACAUUAAUAACCACACAGGUGUUUGGGCUUCAUGGUAGAAAGAUCAUCAAUGGGGUUAUAGAUGCUGCAAGCAGUUUGUAAGAAAUAGUUACUGUACAUGAGUUGCUGGAAUCGAGGCUGCUGAGGCAGCAACAGAUCUUAUAAAACCUAAUAUCGCCCGUAAAGAGGCAACUAAAGGCGAAAUCUCCCCCUCCCGCCUUGCUAUCUCAUCUUUUGUUGUUUUUUGUUCAUGUUUAAUGAUUUUACUUGAUAAUAGCAUGGUUUUGUAUCAUCAAAUGUAAACAACUCCAACGGAAGAGAAACAAUCUGCCACAUAGGGAACAUACAUACCUGAUGAUUUGGCUUUGGAUCAAGAGGAAAUUGCUGAAGCACUUAAGAAGGAAAGGCGCCAGUGAAAUGAGGUGAUUGAAACUGAGUAUCCUAUAAUCAGUUAUCAGUCAGUCGAGAAGCUUAAAUUAAAGGGUAUAACUCUUAAUGUGAAGAACUUACUAUGAACCAUUUCUUGGUACUAAGAACCAUUAGUUUAUGCCAUUUUGUAUCAAGCACUACUGACACACAAUGGUGUUUUCUUAUACGAUUAUGUACACACUUUUAUUAUCAUUUGUUGUUUUAUAUAGCUAAUACGAGUCCUCAAAGGACAUUAAUUGGUUGUAACUAGUAAGUUGCAUCUUUAUAGAUUUGUUUAAAAAACAAUACUUUACUUUGUCAGUUAUGAAUUAAAGAAAUGUUGUUACCAUGGGCAUUUAUUAUUAAGUAUAUUGUAUACAUAUGACUAAUGCAUUAGGAUUUUACGUUUGAGGUUAUUUAUCAAAUUGGUUGUUGCUUAUUAUAAUAUGAAC